This 353-nucleotide ribosomal RNA is filed under the name uncultured bacterium. Its description in RNAcentral is "bacterial SSU rRNA". It matches the Rfam family "Bacterial small subunit ribosomal RNA", at positions 8 to 351 of the family's 1533-position model. The record is from RNAcentral.
AGAGUUUGAUCCUGGCUCAGGAUGAACGCUAGCUACAGGCUUAACACAUGCAGGUCGAGGGGAAACGACAUCGAAAGCUUGCUUUUGAUGGGCGUCGACCGGCGCACGGGUGAGUAACGCGUAUCCAACCUGCCCACCACUUGGGGAUAACCUUGCGAAAGUAAGACUAAUACCCAAUGACGUCUCUAGAAGGCAUCUGAAAGGGAUUAAAGAUUUAUCGGUGAUGGAUGGGGAUGCGUCUGAUUAGCUUGUUGGCGGGGUAACGGCCACCAAGGCUACGAUCAGUAGGGGUUCUGAGAGGAAGGUCCCCCACAUUGGAACUGAGACACGGUCCAAACUCCUACGGGAGGCCA